UUCAUUUCUGUCCAGGAUGUGGUUUCACCGACCUUUAAGAGCUGACGACUGGCUGUUAUUUGUAAUACAAUCACCUACUGCCUACAAUGCUCGCGGUUUCGUUUCGGGUGAAAUGUUCAACCAAAAGGGCGAGCUUGUCGUGUCGUUGACUCAAGAAGGGCUGCUUCGGAAGGCGAGAUUGCCAGAACCCGCACCGACCUCGAAGUUAUGAAGUGUGUCAUCGAAUGUGGUAGCCUUCAAUCUAUACACUAAUCUACUUAUCUAUAUCAAUUUUGAAGUCCCAACUUUGUGGAUCAGCCAUGGAUGGUAGGUGGAUAAAAGAAGUUCGUAGAAGCCAUAAAUUUCUCUUUUCAUAAUAAUUUUCCCAUUGUGUGUUUUUCUAAAACCAUUCUAAUAAUUCAUAAUAAUUUUAGAGAAGUAUAGACAGAAGAUCAAAGUUAUGGUAUUUCGUGUUUAUGUGAUGAUGUAAUAGUGUGUC
This is a long non-coding RNA of Cucurbita maxima (winter squash), 478 nucleotides long. RefSeq lists it as uncharacterized. The transcript has 3 exons. Lineage: Eukaryota; Viridiplantae; Streptophyta; Magnoliopsida; Cucurbitales; Cucurbitaceae. The record is from RefSeq and is a predicted model, not a curated record.